Syngnathus typhle (broad-nosed pipefish) is the source of this 4809-nucleotide long non-coding RNA. RefSeq lists it as uncharacterized. The transcript is spliced from 3 exons. The record is from RefSeq and is a predicted model, not a curated record. NCBI's taxonomy places the organism in Eukaryota, Metazoa, Chordata, Actinopteri, Syngnathiformes, Syngnathidae.
CACUCUUUUCAGAGAGGGGCCCAAUUUGGAGCUUCCUUAAGCCGCCGUUUAAGUAAACAGCCGCCGACAAUGUGACUAAUCAGAAAAGCAGGAAGGCGAACGCGGGCAGAUGCGCCUCCGCAUUGCAGAUGAAGACGUGUCGGCGUCCAAUCAAUCGCUGAAUUGAAAAGGGCCUGGAGAUGGAUCGUGUCAUUACCAAUUCCUGCCGAUCUACGGGAGCUGUGGACGAUUGCGUGUGUGCAGAGGUGUGUGAGUUUGAACGGCACGCGAGGAGAGGCCAAGUAGAAACGACGUUCUGGAGCUGGCUUCCAAGCCCCGCGCCAUGCGAAGCGGCCAACGGCGUUCGUCGCCGUGCAGCCGGAACGUAAAGUAUACCGGGGACCGCCUGUUUGACUUGUUGUGUAUUCACUGCCUGCCAGCUAUGACUUACUGACAAAAGACUGCUAAAACGCAAGAUGCAGCUUAAGAGGGCAACAGUCGGCCCACGUCAAACCUUAAGUCGUCAAACAGAGCAGACACAUGCGAAAGGCACCUUCCUCCUGCACCCUCCUACUUGUUCAUUUCACAGACGAUUAAUCGGUACCAAGAUUAUUUAAUUAAAUAACCGCCUUUGAGGCCUAACGGCGGAGGUCGACCGAGAGCGGAGACGUAGAAGGACUCGCGCCACAGAGAUCCGAUGUGUCUCUUGAGUACGAUCUGUUCCAUGUAGUCCUGGGCAAGCACCCUCAAUAAGGCUUUCUUGUCCCCCUGGCCACUAUCCUGCCAUUUUCCGACUGGAACACGCAAGUCCAUUGUCGGGGGGUGUCACGACGCCACGUACUUGUAAAGUGACAAAUCCCCGUAGGCUGUCAAUGCGGUCCCGUUGUGCAGCAUUAGUCUCUGUGACGUUAAUGCUGACAAACACUACAGAGUGAACAUCAUUUAACUUCACAUCUAUUCAAGCCCGCGCCAAUAAUCGGCGGCGGCAUCGCUCACUGACAGGGUCGCUCGGCAUCGGCGGUAAUCAGAUCAAGUUAAAAGGUUUGGCCUGUGCAUACUAAAUAGUUCCCCCCCUGUUUCUGGGGGGUCAAAACUCGAACCAAACCAACAGAAAAGAUUUCAUUUCAGUACAAUAUUGCAAAGCUAAUUAUGCCUUGUUGCUGUUGCUGGAGGGCAUUUCGCUGUUUAAUUUCCAAUUUACAAAUUAAAAUGAUUUGACGCCCCUUUGGAAGUCAGGUAUGAAGAUGCUGAUUCCCUUGUCACAGCGAAGAAGUAGAUUGACAUUAAAUUAGAAGAAUUCUGAUGGACGGGUGAGAUACUUGAAUUUCAACAUGAAAUAUGAAUCCCUGGAAAUUGACACACUCGCUGACCUGCUCCCAUGUGCCGAGUUUAAAGGUUCGCUUUGAAAAGACAGCUCCGGUCUCAUAAAUAUGUCAUUGGAGCAACCUAUGACCGAUUCCGAGAGUGACGGGGGUGGCGGCGAUGAAACUAACACACCUAAUCUGCACAUUUUCAUGCAUCAUUAAAACAUCAGUCCAGAGGUGCGAGGAGAAGGUCGUUUCAAAGUAGCCUGACGUCAGCGUCCGGCUCGACACGACGCUAACUCAAGAGUUCCAGCUAGCUUGUUUGUCUCGCUGCUAUGACUCACUCAGGAUGAUGAGAAUAUUUUUCGGAUCCGGACGACAUUUGGCUGAAAUUCACUGGAAUCGCGGUAACGUGGUCAGACCGAAGUGCUGGAACAGAAGCCAAGUACAUCAAGUGGAUAAACAAAGUAUUCAAUUUCAAAUGGCAGCGACUACGAGUGAGCACAUGCGAUCGUGAAAAGGAAAUGAAGCAAAUGUGGAAACAUUUGCAUUUGUUGGUAUGUGUGACAAUUUAAAGAGUUCUUUUUGGCAAAGGUUUCGACGAUGCCGACAAUUGAUGACACAUCUAAAUAAGCCAAUCAGGAUUCAGGGUUUGGGGUAGGCGCUAAAAUUUUCCGUCGACCAAAAUAUUCACGAUGACUCUCUUCCUCCAACUUUGUGGAAUAAGGUCAGGGACAUUAAAGUGACUACGCCCCAAUACAAAAAAAACAUGGAGAAGCUAAAAGAAGGAAAGCUCAAACAUUCUAUGUAAACUUUCAAUAUAUCAAAUGCACAAAUUUUUCAAAAACAGAUAAUAAUUUGAAAUAGACAUUUUCCCCAAGUGGGCGAGCAACACCGGGGCGAGUUUUCGUAAAGCUAACAAUUAAAACUAGCGAAAAGAAUUAGCACGGCGUAAGCAUGUCAUUAACUGGCAGGGACACGGAAACAAUGUAGGCCUCCAAGGUGGCAUCCAAAGAUAGGCCUCACCUCGCCCCCCCUCCCUUCCACAUUUCCGUAGGUGGCUGCCCUUCACCAGAGCUUCUCGGGGAUAAUAAUCCACAAAGGAUUUGGCACGUUCUUCAUACAGCUGAGACACUUCCACAAUUGAAAGCUUUUUGCGCAUAAAUUUGGAAUGACAAAGUUUGAGUCAGACAAGCAUAAAUGCAUAGUCAGUAUUUCGGAAGUACACUAAACAGCACAGAUAGUGUCGCAAUCCAGAACACACAAUGAUCCAUUUUUUUAGAUACAUAAAUGGUCUUAUUUUGUUGUACUGCAUACAAAGCAUGCGCUAGCUAGCUAAUAACGCUUUGGAAUUAUGUCCUAAGUUUUGUUGGAGAGCCAGAGGAGGACAAUAAUUACUCAUUCCUCUGCUUGCUCACUCCAGCAGACCUUUCAGGGGAAGUUGCUUCUACGUCUUUGUGGUCCAGUUUUGUUUGCUGCCAUGGUCUCUAUGACUCUUAACUUAAGAGUCUUAAGUAAAGUCACAAACACAUCUUCGCGCUACACCUCCCACUUUGUUAUUUGCAUACAGGACAAUCCAGAUACUAGAUCAAGGACUUAUAGACGUUCUCCUGAGAUGCCAUUAGAGUUAUUUGUUCCAUAAUUAAGCUAAAUCUAUUCUAUCCAUAGCAUUAGCCAAAGUAGAUCUGAAGCUAGCGUUCAUUCAGAGUGAAUCAGAAUUGAACAUACGCACGCAUACUUGAGCACUUUUCAGUUCUUGUUUUAGGAAAUGAGGAAAAUGAUCUCAAUUUCGUGCCUGACUCUCUAUUUCACCCAACUUGAACUGUGUGGGAAGACGAUCGGGUGAGUCAUACACGGUAGCUUGGGUUGGCACUAUCCAGCAAAUAGUUUUGCAGUUUUUUUUCUAUGACGGCAUUCAUAAAAUGUGCAUCUGGAAGUAUGAGAAGUAGAAAACCACUUUGAUUACGCUUAUACAAACUGAUAUAGUCACAUAACAGCGCAGGGUAGGAAAAUAUUGUGAUUUGCUAACAAUCAUGCUGUCAGAAAGUACUCACAUUUUCCCCUGUGGCUUUCUGCAAACAGGAAAUUACUCAACUGACUUCACCACAGUUUAUCAUCUGGUACUGCAGUUACAUGCCUUUAAUCAUGACUUCAAGUCAGAAUUCAUUUGUGUCCCUCAAGAAAUAACCGUAACCGCAGGUUGUGUUGCGGCGAGAUUUUCAAGACUGCAAUAAGCGUGUGGGGAAACAAUUCUUGAAAGCAAAGACACACAAAGUCUUUUCUGAUUUACAAGGAAAGCUGCUGUGAUGCAUACCGAACGUGAGCCACUGCUGUCAUGGUACCAAAACAACUUCGGGCAGACAGUCACAUGCUGCUUCACCACGUCGAAAGACCAAAACAACAGAACAAGAAGCAGACUGGUUUGGUUGAGUUCUUUGACCAUUUUAAGAAAGUCGAAAUGUCGCCCGAGAGGUAGCGUAAGAAACAGCAACAAAUUUCUUCCAGAUAAUGAAACAUGCAGCGAAGGACAGCUACUGAAUCCAAAUGGCAAGGUCACAGGUGAUAUUUGAUUAGGAGAGACAUGGCUGUUUGACAAAGAUAAAUUCAGUUUUACCCGAGUAACCGGAGGCUAUAAAGCAAAAUAAUAAUAAUAACAAUAAUUAGGCCUUUUGUGGGAAGGAUGCCAGAUCUGGUUGUAAACAGAUGCAAAUAAAUAAAUAAAUAAAUAAAUAAAUAAAUAAAUAAAUAAAUAAAUAAAUAAAUAAAUAAAUAAAUAAAUAAAUAAAUAAAUAAAUAAAUAAAUAAAUAAAUAAAUAAAUAAAUAAAUAAAUAAAUAAAUAAAUAAAUAAAUAAAUAAAUAAAUACGACAGCGCGGUGCCUUGUGUCAUUGACAAAUCGCAGCUUAUUUUACUGUGAGCCGCAAAGAGCUGUGCUGUUGCAAAGCGAUCGAUAAAUCUAUCGCCUCCACUCUGUUUGGCCACCAUUAAUGAUUGAUUUCCCCGGUGGACUUAUUGAUUCACAAACACCUCCGUAGCCAUAAUUUUUUUCCCUAAUUGCGUGAAGUAGAGGGAAAAAAAGGAUGUUGAUCGCUCUCAAGUCGGCAUGGAUCUUGUCGAAUCUCCGCAAAAGUACCACGGAGAAGCCUGAGGCGUCGUCGCCGAGGGCGACUCGAAUGCAUCAUUCCGAGUGUCGCUCGGCCUCUCAAAGCGGCUUAGAUAGUGUCGAGAGCUACUAAGGGUGGCCGCAUCUUGUGAAAUUCUCUUCACAAAACAAAUGACUGUAUUUUGUCUUGGUCUUGCCAUAGUUGGAGUCAUACUAUGCUACGUUUAAAUAUGACCAUAAAACCGGCACACUAUUAACAGGGAAAUUUACCUGGCACCGAAUGAAUAGCCAUUUAACAGCCGUCAUCAAACUUUCUGCAUACACUCAUUCUGAUUAAGCCCACAAGAAAGAGCCUGAUGGAAAUUUGGACUGACAGUAAGGACUGAGCAGGCGAGGAAAAUCAGGAGACAAAAGGGAUGAAGUA